GCAAGCUAAAGACAGUUACUGGUUUUUUACUAAGGAAACUCCAUCCAUCAUUACAGAACUAUAAUGUUUUAAAUGCAUAUGCUGAGAAGCAUGACCCUGAAGCAGAAACGAUACGUCUUUUAAUGGAUGAAUAUGAUGUUUAACUGAUGACAUUAAAAGUAAACGGUGAAACGGUCAGUCUAUAGGAUGCAAGGAUAAAUUUGCUUAUGACAGCUGUAUGAGGCAAGGUAAUUCGCGAAGAUGAAUACUGUUAAACAGAAGGUGGGUUACUCUUAGCAGGC
RNAcentral lists this RNase P RNA (281 nucleotides) under Methanobrevibacter sp. 87.7. RNAcentral describes it as "RNase P RNA component". It matches the Rfam family "Archaeal RNase P". Rfam says of the family: Ribonuclease P (RNase P) is a ubiquitous endoribonuclease, found in archaea, bacteria and eukarya as well as chloroplasts and mitochondria. The record is from RNAcentral. Lineage: Archaea; Methanobacteriati; Methanobacteriota; Methanobacteria; Methanobacteriales; Methanobacteriaceae.